AUAGAAACCACCCUGAAUGCACCUGAUCUCUCCUGAUCUCAUCUGAUUUGGAAGCUAAGCAGGGUCAGGCCUGGUUAGUACUUAGAUGGGAGAAACUCUCUGGGUACGUAAGAAACCUAAU
This 121-nucleotide ribosomal RNA is filed under the name Otolemur garnettii (small-eared galago). Lineage: Eukaryota; Metazoa; Chordata; Mammalia; Primates; Galagidae. The record is from RNAcentral.